Molecule: ribosomal RNA, 440 nt
Filed under: uncultured bacterium
Lineage: Bacteria
Description: partial 16S ribosomal RNA
Rfam family: Bacterial small subunit ribosomal RNA
Source: RNAcentral
CCUACGGGAGGCAGCAGUAAGGGAUAUUGGUCAAUGGGGGAAACCCUGAACCAGCAACGCCGCGUGAGGGAAGACGGUGUGCGGAGGGUAAACCUCUGUCAGCGGGGAAGAGGAGGACGGUAGCAGAGGAGGAAGCUCCGGCGAACUACGUGCCAGCAGCCGCGGUAAUACGUAGGGAGCGAGCGUUGUCCGGAUUUACUGGGUGUAAAGGGUGCGUAGGCGGCUUGGCAAGUCAGUAGUGAAAUCCAUGGGCUUAACCCAUGAACUGCUAUUGAAACUGUCGAGCUUGAGUGAAGUAGAGGUAGGCGGAAUUCCCGGUGUAGCGGUGAAAUGCGUAGAGAUCGGGAGGAACACCAGUGGCGAAGGCGGCCUACUGUGCUUUACCUGACGCUGUGGCCCGCACGCGUGGGUAGCAAACAGGAUUAGAUACCCCGGUAGUC